GGGGAAUAUUGGACAAUGGGCGCAAGCCUGAUCCAGCCAUGCCGCGUGUGUGAAGAAGGCCUUUUGGUUGUAAAGCACUUUAAGCGAGGAGGAGGCUACUUGGAUUAAUACUCUAGGAUAGUGGACGUUACUCGCAGAAUAAGCACCGGCUAACUCUGUGCCAGCAGCCGCGGUAAUACAGAGGGUGCGAGCGUUAAUCGGAUUUACUGGGCGUAAAGCGUGCGUAGGCGGCUUUUUAAGUCGGAUGUGAAAUCCCUGAGCUUAACUUAGGAAUUGCAUUCGAUACUGGGAAGCUAGAGUAUGGGAGAGGAUGGUAGAAUUCCAGGUGUAGCGGUGAAAUGCGUAGAGAUCUGGAGGAAUACCGAUGGCGAAGGCAGCCAUCUGGCCUAAUACUGACGCUGAGGUACGAAAGCAUGGGGAGCAAACAGGAUUAGAUACCCUGGUAGUCCAUGCCGUAAACGAUGUCUACUAGCCGUUGGGGCCUUUGAGGCUUUAGUGGCGCAGCUAACGCGAUAAGUAGACCGCCUGGGGAGUACGGUCGCAAGACUAAAACUCAAAUGAAUUGACGGGGGCCCGCACAAGCGGUGGAGCAUGUGGUUUAAUUCGAUGCAACGCGAAGAACCUUACCUGGUCUUGACAUAGUAAGAACUUUCCAGAGAUGGAUUGGUGCCUUCGGGAACUUACAUACAGGUGCUGCAUGGCUGUCGUCAGCUCGUGUCGUGAGAUGUUGGGUUAAGUC
This 739-nucleotide ribosomal RNA is filed under the name uncultured bacterium. RNAcentral describes it as "bacterial SSU rRNA". It matches the Rfam family "Bacterial small subunit ribosomal RNA", at positions 356 to 1086 of the family's 1533-position model. The record is from RNAcentral.